This 73-nucleotide transfer RNA is filed under the name Actinomycetota bacterium. RNAcentral's name for it is "tRNA-Gln". It matches the Rfam family "tRNA". Rfam says of the family: Transfer RNA (tRNA) molecules are approximately 80 nucleotides in length. Their secondary structure includes four short double-helical elements and three loops (D, anti-codon, and T loops). The record is from RNAcentral. Lineage: Bacteria; Bacillati; Actinomycetota.
UCCGGGGUAGUUCAAUUGGCAGAACGCCGGCCUUUGGAGCCGGAUGUUGGAGGUUCGAGCCCUCCCCCCGGAG